GACGAACGCUGGCGGCGUGCCUAAUACAUGCAAGUUGAGCGAUGAAGAUUGGUGCUUGCACCAAUUUGAAGAGCAGCGAACGGGUGAGUAACGCGUGGGGAAUCUGCCUUUGAGCGGGGGACAACAUUUGGAAACGAAUGCUAAUACCGCAUAACAACUUUAAACAUAAGUUUUAAGUUUGAAAGAUGCAAUUGCAUCACUCAAAGAUGAUCCCGCGUUGUAUUAGCUAGAUGGUGAGGUAAAGGCUCACCAAGGCGAUGAUACAUAGCCGACCUGAGAGGGUGAUCGGCCACAUUGGGACUGAGACACGGCCCAAACUCCUACGGGAGGCAGCAGUAGGGAAUCUUCGGCAAUGGACGAAAGUCUGACCGAGCAACGCCGCGUGAGUGAAGAAGGUUUUCGGAUCGUAAAACUCUGUUGGUAGAGAAGAACGUUGGUGAGAGUGGAAAGCUCAUCAAGUGACGGUAACUACCCAGAAAGGGACGGCUAACUACGUG
Molecule: ribosomal RNA, 497 nt
Filed under: uncultured bacterium
Lineage: Bacteria
Description: partial 16S ribosomal RNA
Rfam family: Bacterial small subunit ribosomal RNA
Source: RNAcentral